Molecule: ribosomal RNA, 465 nt
Filed under: uncultured Streptococcus sp.
Lineage: Bacteria; Bacillati; Bacillota; Bacilli; Lactobacillales; Streptococcaceae
Description: bacterial SSU rRNA
Rfam family: Bacterial small subunit ribosomal RNA
Source: RNAcentral
CCUACGGGAGGCAGCAGUAGGGAAUCUUCGGCAAUGGACGGAAGUCUGACCGAGCAACGCCGCGUGAGUGAAGAAGGUUUUCGGAUCGUAAAGCUCUGUUGUAAGAGAAGAACGAGUGUGAGAGUGGAAAGUUCACACUGUGACGGUAUCUUACCAGAAAGGGACGGCUAACUACGUGCCAGCAGCCGCGGUAAUACGUAGGUCCCGAGCGUUGUCCGGAUUUAUUGGGCGUAAAGCGAGCGCAGGCGGUUAGAUAAGUCUGAAGUUAAAGGCUGUGGCUUAACCAUAGUACGCUUUGGAAACUGUUUAACUUGAGUGCAAGAGGGGAGAGUGGAAUUCCAUGUGUAGCGGUGAAAUGCGUAGAUAUAUGGAGGAACACCGGUGGCGAAAGCGGCUCUCUGGCUUGUAACUGACGCUGAGGCUCGAAAGCGUGGGGAGCAAACAGGAUUAGAUACCCCUGUAGUC